AAGAUGAGAUAUCCCAUUCGAAAGAAGUAAGACCCCUUGAAGACGACGAGGUAGAUAGGGCAGGGGUGGAAGUGCCGUAAGGCAUGGAGCUGACUGUUACUAAUCGGUCGAGGGCUUGACCUAAUU
Molecule: ribosomal RNA, 126 nt
Filed under: Blautia sp. AM47-4
Lineage: Bacteria; Bacillati; Bacillota; Clostridia; Lachnospirales; Lachnospiraceae
Description: partial 23S ribosomal RNA
Rfam family: Bacterial large subunit ribosomal RNA
Source: RNAcentral